Molecule: transfer RNA, 72 nt
Filed under: Candidatus Poribacteria bacterium
Lineage: Bacteria; Candidatus Poribacteria
Description: tRNA-Met
Rfam family: tRNA
About the family: Transfer RNA (tRNA) molecules are approximately 80 nucleotides in length. Their secondary structure includes four short double-helical elements and three loops (D, anti-codon, and T loops). Further hydrogen bonds mediate the characteristic L-shaped molecular structure. tRNAs have two regions of fundamental functional importance: the anti-codon, which is responsible for specific mRNA codon recognition, and the 3' end, to which the tRNAs corresponding amino acid is attached (by aminoacyl-tRNA synthetases). tRNAs cope with the degeneracy of the genetic code in two manners: having more than one tRNA (with a specific anti-codon) for a particular amino acid; and 'wobble' base-pairing, i.e. permitting non-standard base-pairing at the 3rd anti-codon position.
Source: RNAcentral
GCCGGUGUAGCUCAGUGGUAGAGCACACGACUCAUAAUCGUGCUGUCUGGAGUUCAACUCUCCACACCGGCA